This 174-nucleotide small RNA is filed under the name Chrysemys picta bellii (western painted turtle). RNAcentral describes it as "TUC338 (ENSCPBG00000008576.1)". The record is from RNAcentral. Lineage: Eukaryota; Metazoa; Chordata; Testudines; Emydidae.
UUAACAACCCUAGAAACAAAAGUUAUCUAUUUAUCCACAGAAUGUUAAAGGCACGGACAGUAUCAGUACGAGCUUCCCAUCACUGUCCUGCUAAUGUGCCUCACCACCAACCUGGAGGGACAGUUUAGGGGUGAAAGGAAAUUCAUUCUCCAUUCCCAUUAAGUCCUGGUCCUU